RNAcentral lists this unclassified non-coding RNA (309 nucleotides) under uncultured fungus. Its description in RNAcentral is "sequence contains ITS2". The stretch from base 1 to 52 matches the Rfam family "5.8S ribosomal RNA", at positions 103 to 154 of the family's 154-position model. Lineage: Eukaryota; Fungi. The record is from RNAcentral.
AACGCACCUUGCGCCCCUUGGCAUUCCAAGGGGCAUGCCUGUUUGAGUGUCACGUAUAUCAUCACCUGCCUCAUGGGGUCUCCUGUGGGGGUUAUGCGGUGGACUUGGGUGUUGCCGAUGUCUCGUCGGCUCGUCCUGAAAUGCAUUAGCCCUUGACCUCCGGUCGCCUUCCUCAUGGUGUGAUAAAUAUCAACGCCGCUUGGUUUGGUUGGCCUGGGUUGGCUCAGAGUGUGUUGUUCGCCAGGCUUCCCUGGCGAUCGCUUUCUUGAAUUUGACCUCAAAUCAGGUAGGAUUACCCGCUGAACUUAA